This 492-nucleotide ribosomal RNA is filed under the name uncultured bacterium. RNAcentral's name for it is "partial 16S ribosomal RNA". It matches the Rfam family "Bacterial small subunit ribosomal RNA", at positions 29 to 507 of the family's 1533-position model. The record is from RNAcentral.
AGUGAACGCUGGCGGUAGGCCUAACACAUGCAAGUCGAACGGCAGCACAGUAAGAGCUUGCUCUUACGGGUGGCGAGUGGCGGACGGGUGAGGAAUACAUCGGAAUCUACUUUUUCGUGGGGGAUCACGUAGGGAAACUUACGCUAAUACCGCAUACGACCUACGGGUGAAAGCAGGGGAUCUUCGGACCUUGCGCGAUUGAAUGAGCCGAUGUCGGAUUAGCUAGUUGGCGGGGUAAAGGCCCACCAAGUCGACGAUCCGUAGCUGGUCUGAGAGGAUGAUCAGCCACACUGGAACUGAGACACGGUCCAGACUCCUACGGGAGGCAGCAGUGGGGAAUAUUGGACAAUGGGCGCAAGCCUGAUCCAGCCAUACCGCGUGGGUGAAGAAGGCCUUCGGGUUGUAAAGCCCUUUUGUUGGGAAAGAAAAGCAGCAGGUUAAUACCCCGCUGUUCUGACGGUACCCAAAGAAUAAGCACCGGCUAACUUCGUG